AUUUGCAUCUUGAUAUGAUUUCUUAUCACAGACCAGCUCAGGUGGGAAGGGAAGCAGGGAAUGUUUUGUGCUUCUCUGCUGAAGAGGGUCCACGUGGAGCAGCAUCCAGAUCCGGACUGACAGAGAUUAAGGCACAGAGGAAAAAGCUGAAACAAGCAUCCUUCAGCUGUUCCUGUGGAGAGCAAGGCAAGCACUGCUCUUCAGGAAGGGAGGAAAGCUGCACAGGAGGAAAAACCACAGUGCAGCUCUGCCUCCGUGUUCCUGAGCAUCCAGCCCUUGUAAACCCCAGCAAUGAUGAGGAGGAGUUAGCAGCUGAAGAGUUCAUUUUGUACAGCAUUUAUCUCCUGAGCUUAAAAAUGCACCAGAAACCAAGAUUUACAAAGCUGUUGUUGGGAUUGUUUCUCUUUUUAUAAAUUGCAAACAGUAAACCUGUCUCUUUUAAUAUAUUAUGUCAGCUAAACAUCUGGUUUGCUUACGUUGCUUCUUGGUCCACCUUGGCUCUCUGGUGAUUCCAAUCAUAUGAAAAUGCUCAAACCCAGGGCUUGAAAAUGGACAAUUUUCCAAAAUCUCUAUUUAAUUCUGCAAGAUUCUACAAGUAUUCAAGAUUUCAACAGCAUGUUGAAACAGGCAUUUUGAACAUAAGGGAGUUAAGAGCUGAAGUUUUACAAGUAUUACUUUUUAUUGAUAUUAUUUCUAAAGCCAAAUGUUCUUUUUAAAAGCUGUGGCACGGAAAUGCAAUCAUUUUGGGUGUUUUAUCUCUUUCUCCACACAAAAUCUGAGCUUGACUCAGUCCCUUCACCAGUGGGGUUAAAAUAUGGCAUAAUUUAACAGUGCAAGCAGACGAGCCUCACCCCAGGACUGUCCAAAGACCAUCAGGAUGUUGUCCAUGGCAAAAUCAGCUGUUCCAAAAGCGAGGAGGACACUCAAAGCUCGCAGCUGCCCUGCUUUAGCUCGUGGAGUGGUGCCUGCUGGUUUGUGAAUGGGUCAAGAGCUGUUUGCAUGUGUCUGUGUGUCAGGGCUUUUGUUUAUGACUUCAGUCACUGUUUCCAUUUCAGAAGAAAUAAGAUAAAUCCUUCUGACAUUCUAGUUCUUUCUCUUCUUGGCUCUAACUGGUGGUGGAUAAUUCAGAUUUGGCAAAGGGUUUUGUCUGCCCUGAAACUGCAUUUCUCAACAUUUGCUGGUAAAAUUUGCCAGCUGUAGUCUGGACUGCAAAGGUUUUUACACAUUUCAAACCUGAAGGUGGUUUUUUUUCAGGUCUCUGUUGUUCUAGUAAAAGAUAUGUUUUCUCUCUCAAUAAGCCUUUCUGCCAUUAUAGAUCAUUAUGCUUCUCCAUCUGCAUACAAGUCAUAUUAUACAUUAUUUUCAUUUAUCACUCUUUACAGCAAUUUACCUGCACGUGCAACAAUGUGUGUAAUAUUUUGGAUAUGAGUAUCAAGAGACAGAACAGGACAUUAGGACAGCACUGGCAGUUUUGUGGGGUUUUGCUUGUUUGGGUUUUUUUUUAAUGGGAAGAUAGAAAAGUGUUGGAGCAGAUGCUCUGGGUCCUAACUUUGUAGCUAUUGAUGCUUACACAUCAAAGAAAGGCAGAGUCAAGCCUGUUCUCUCUUUGAGACAGAAAAGGGGGGGAAAGGACAAGUUAGCUAUGAAUGUGUAGCACCUGAUUGAGCAGCACUAAGUGCAGUUAACAGUAACAGAGUGCUGGGAGAGGUCUGCAGCUUCAGGAAGGAUCCUCUGCUGCAGCCAAGCCAGGGGUUUGUCAGGAAAAUCACUACCAGCACUGAACCUGCUUUCUCUGAAGCUAUUUUUAGCAAAACAAUUCGAACACAGGAUAUUUGGUAAGCAUCAGCAUCCGGUGUUUAUCAAAAAUAAAAGCUCCUGCAUGAUUUGCA
Molecule: long non-coding RNA, 1889 nt
Filed under: Cyanistes caeruleus (blue tit)
Lineage: Eukaryota; Metazoa; Chordata; Aves; Passeriformes; Paridae
Description: lncRNA (ENSCCEG00000003443.1)
Source: RNAcentral